This is a non-coding RNA of Biomphalaria pfeifferi, 476 nucleotides long. The record is from the annotation of a GenBank genome assembly. Lineage: Eukaryota; Metazoa; Mollusca; Gastropoda; Planorbidae.
AUGCAUGUAUUGGUAAAUCCAAGACUAAAGUAAAUUAAGGAAAAAACUAAACUGGAAAAAAUGUGUGUACCGGGUAAUUCAAAAUUUUGAGUGAAAAUAAGUAAAAAAGUUUUUCUAAAAAUUCACCAUUAUGAAAGUGACUACUUAAAAUUAGAGCAAUCACUUCACUUGUAAGUAACGAUAGGUAAAUGGAAAAAAAUAGACCAAAUUUAAUUUUAAGAUAAUUAUAUUUUGAAAAAUAAUGCUCAAUCCAGAGUAAAGCUAGUAUUUUUUUUUCCCCAAAGACAUAGGUACAUAAACUUAAUCUCUUGUAAAAUAUGAAGGAACGUUUUCGAGACAUGUCCAGUCACCACACAGGCAGUGUGCCGUCCACCCAAGAAAAUUUAACAAGCUAAUAAGAGGAAUGGUCAAAAAAGAAGCCUACAAAAAUAAAUAAAACUUGAAAGGAUACUCUGCAGCUAUUUCUUUUCUGUGUU